CUCGUAGGCGGUUCAGUAAGUCGGGUGUGAAAACUCUGGGCUCAACCCAGAGAGGCCACCCGAUACUGCUGUGACUUGAGUAUGGUAGGGGAGCGGGGAAUUCCUGGUGUAGCGGUGAAAUGCGCAGAUAUCAGGAGGAACACCAGUGGCGAAGGCGCCGCUCUGGGCCGAAACUGACGCUGAGGAGCGAAAGCGUGGGUAGCAAACA
This 208-nucleotide ribosomal RNA is filed under the name uncultured bacterium. RNAcentral describes it as "partial 16S ribosomal RNA". It matches the Rfam family "Bacterial small subunit ribosomal RNA", at positions 568 to 774 of the family's 1533-position model. The record is from RNAcentral.